GCUGGGUAUGGUGGUGCAUGCCUGUAAUCUCAGUGGCUCUGGAGGCUGAGGCAGGAGGAUCACCAGUUCAAAGCCAGCCUCAG
RNAcentral lists this small RNA (83 nucleotides) under Marmota monax (woodchuck). Lineage: Eukaryota; Metazoa; Chordata; Mammalia; Rodentia; Sciuridae. The record is from RNAcentral.